This is a long non-coding RNA of Malania oleifera, 4202 nucleotides long. RefSeq lists it as uncharacterized. Lineage: Eukaryota; Viridiplantae; Streptophyta; Magnoliopsida; Santalales; Ximeniaceae. The transcript is spliced from 6 exons. The record is from RefSeq and is a predicted model, not a curated record.
UUAAGGCACAAAUGGUGAAGUCUUUGGGUCAAAAUUUUAAAAUACAAACAUGAGGUCGGGCACGUGCCCUAGUGAACAGAUACAGGAAGGAUGGUGCAAAAAAUACAGAAAAUAUAAAUGCAAAGUACGGGAAAAUAAAAAUGUUACAGUACAAACUAAUGUUGUAGUAAAGGGGGGCGGGGCUACAUCCACAUCCAAAAGAAGAAAAAAAAUACAAAAAUUAAUAAAAAUUGCAAGUCCUGCCAUUUGUAUUCCCCAAGUUUCCUGCGCACAAAAGGAAAAAACAAAGUCAGGAAAUAAAAGAAAAUACCUUCGCAUGUGCAAUCUGCCAGCGCGGGGAAUAAAGGGGGAGAGAAAAUUGGCGCCAAAGCAAGGCCCAAGACUCCCUAUAAGUAGUGAGUCUCACACUAUAGCAGGCAGGAUCAGAAAGCAUAAAAAAUCUCUGUUGAAAUUGAGAGAGAUAAAAAUCAGAGAGCAAUAGAGAAAAUAUAGGAUAUUGAGAAUUGAGAUGAGAGCUAGAGGUUCUGCAGAAAUUGUGAGAUCGAGAGAAGAUGAACUCAGGGAGAAAAUUCUGAAAAAUUUGAAAACAGCAGAAAAGCAGAAAGAACAAUCCAUCAGAGAAGCAUUCAGAGCUCCUCACACCCUCAGAGUCUCAACCAGACACCCCAAAUAGACAACCAGAGUACGAGGAAGAAGACCGGAGGAGUUGGAAGUUGGAGGUAGACAAAGUUUUUUUUCUGAGCAUGCGAUUAUGAUAUAUGAAUGGCAAUUGAGAAUGCAGGAAUUUUCUACCCUCAGGUUUUAGGUUCAUGCUCGAACCUGGAACUAGUACCUUAGUUCCCAGAUCCAAGCCUGCACUCGGAUUCGAACUUAUUCUGAAAAUCACCCUAACCCGAAUUUGAAGCCCGACCCCUCUAACAUGUACCAGAAUCAAUCCCAUACCCACAUUCGGAUUCGAGCCCGCUCCAAACCACACUCAGGACCCGAGCGCUCUAUCUACAUUUUAAAACCCAGGACCUUGUUUGAAUUUUAAAACCAAAGCCCAACUGCUGAAAGAGCCCGGGCCUGUGCUUCAAAUUUCCUAAACCAACUCAAGCGCAUUUCAAUUUUUCACCCGAAGCCCAGUUCCCGUUUUAAAAGAUCCCAGCCCAAUAACCGGUUUCUAAAAUAACCCGAUCCAUAGCCCAUUUUGGAAAACUCAGCCAAAGCCCAUUUUGGAAAAAAAAAAAUCAUUUUAACUCACACGUGCUUGCAAGCACAUCACGCACUCGGGGUAAUCCGAGCCUUCACGGGUCAACUCGCACGAAUCAACUCGUCGUUCACUCACCUAUGACGAGACGAGAUCAACUUGUCUUCCUCCCUCUGCCCCAACUGAGCAUGAGCCCUAAUCCCCAAAUGCUACAACCGACUCACAACGCAGAGAUUUGAACAAUACAACCAGUCUUUGAUUCACUAAGCUCACAUCACACGUCAGAUCUGAGGAAAAAAAAAACAAAAAAAACAAUCGACAAAGGAGAAAGAAAUACUUAUCUUAAUAUUUUCUUUAGAUCUAGCACCCAAGCCUUAUUAUUAAAGUCCCCAUCGGAUUUUCACUGACCACCAUGGCAGAGACGAAGGAAACCGAAGCCUCAGUUCAACGCACCAAGAGAAAAGCUCUGAAGCUGGAGCUAGAACCUCGAUUUUUGAGAGCUAGAAGCUGUAGGUGUCGGGUCUUUUAAUGUUCGAAUGGGAAGACCAUUAGAGAUGGGAUUGAACCCGAGGGUUCGAAACCGUUCGAGAGGAGCAGAGGGCUGAAGCUAGAGCGUUCUGAGAGGAUCAGAUUUUAGUUCGGUUCCGAGAAAGAAAGACUCUGAGAACCGGAGGCACACGGGAGGAAGGGUCGGCUGGGGAAACCGCUACCGGUGUGUGCGGUUAUUUUGAGAUCUGCUUUGAGGGUUGCGGCCGGCCGUGAGAGCGAAGGAGAGAGAUGACUAUGGCUACUCUAGUGUGUCCGUGAGGACGAGAGUAUGGUGGUUGCGGAGGAAAUCUCAGAGAUCUGAAACGCAAUGCGUUCGUCGUCGCCGGAGUUGCGGAGACCGGUUCCGAGUGCCCGGCCAACGAAGAGGCCGUUGUCGGAGAGAGGCGAUUUAGGUGCCAGCGCGGUUUCGGCGGCGGCAUCGUCCUUUUCACUGAACAUACCGGAUUGGUCGAAGAUCCUGAAGGAGGAUUGUGAGGAGAAUCGGGGAGAGAGAGAGAGAGAGAGAGAGAGAGAGAGAGAGGGUGAAAGAGGGUGAAGGAUUUUUUUUCAUAUUUUAUUAUUAAUUUCAAAUAAAAUAUUAAAUAAUACUCUAUUUGGAAUGGAAAAAAAUUUUCCAGUCUAAUGUUUACGUAAUCUCACAUUACCAAGCUAUGAGAUUUAAACGUGUAACGUUUCUCAUAGUGACGCUUAGCAAUGUGGGGGAAGUAAAUCUCGCAGGAUCAAGUUACAAGAUUUUCUUUGGAAAUGACCCGUGACCUGACGUGUGACAAAUUUUGCAGGACCAAGUUACGAGAUUUGUUUCGUCCAUUCAGAUGCCCUUUCUCUUUCAGUUUUCUUCGCCAACAGAGCAAGGAGAGCAAAGAGAUAUUGAUAAGAGACGUGUGCAGCAGAGCGGAGGGUAGAGGUCGAAUGAUUGCAGGUUACCGUUGCUCGUGAACGUUGAGGUGGAAGCUACAAAAGGGCAAGAUGGAGUUUUUAUAAUCUCCUGAGGUUGAUCUAAAUGGCAGGAAGUUCGAGCAGUGCUCCGGUGAUGGUAUUGUUGUAUAUUGGCGGGGGAGUUAUCACCAGAGUAGAGGGUGUUUGUUAUAGUACUAUGUCGGUUCAGCCAAUUCAAAUUGAUCAUAGGGAGAUGUGCUGUGCCACUCACCUGUCGAAGACUCAGAUUGCUAGCCCACUCCUCUUACUACAAGUUUGGACUUGGGAGAGAUUUCCAUCCUUGGCUACUAUGCAGCGAGGUUUCCUGUAGAUUCAAAGGGGCCAGAACGGUCAUCCAGUUGACCCACUCCCACUCGCAUACCGAUGGAGGGAUGACUUGAGGGGGUCGUCAGUUGCGCAAUACACAUUACCCUAAUACAAGUUCGAGGUGGACAUGCACCGAGAGCAUGAGGGCAUUCUCGACCGCUUCUUGAUGUUGCAGGUAGAUGUAGUUGGGGAUGACUUCCAUGGUAUGGAUGGAUGCGGUCGAGAGGUCACGGACUGGGUGGCUACACAUGCAAUCUUCGCGAGUGCGUGGAAGCAUCAGUGAGGGGACAUCGUACCAGGAGUGGUAGAGGAUGGUCCGAUGUGUCCGGAUGACCCAUACUUUACCUAAUAUAGGUCCAUCACACGCCGCUUCGUCAACGGGACCGCUAUUAUAUAUUUGAGCCUUGCUGACAUACUACAUGAGGUAGAUCAGAUCUCACCAGAUCCCGCUAUCCACCGAUUGAUAUGUGCUGCAUUGGACCUUGUCCAUGAGGAUGGCCGACAGAUCCCAAUUGCUUGACCUGAUGUGCCUGCAUAAGGACGUCGACCAGCUCCAGUAGAAGGAGGAAGACAUGCCUCCUCUAGUCGUCCAGUGAGUCCCAUCUCCUCACUACUGGUUGUACAGGAGGAGUAGGUGUUCGGUUCGUCAGCACCGUAUGCGCCUUCCAAUGCAAUUGAUAUUGCAUGACUGUCCAGUAGACAGGCCGACGCCCCAUCUGAUUUUGCUACCACCCCCAUCGACGUCAUUUUUAUUAGACAACAUUUUCAGUGGGGAGGAGGUCGAUGCACCCGCUAUGUUGCUUCGUUCUCGUCCAGAGACAUCAUAUCGGUUCUCUCCGCGUACGCUUAGCAUGGACAAUGAUUACGCAGUACCUCUUGGCAGAGAUGAUCCACAUACAGGACGAUGACGGGAUAGGACACCUAAUGUAGAUGACCAGCAGGGAGAGGGUAGACGCAAACGGUAGCCACCACGACCCCAGAGACGACCUCGCUGCGGCACCGAGUAGUAUAACAUUAUUGUCAUUUUAUUUGUAUAUCAUUGAUUAUUUUCAUUUCAUUUGUAUAUCAUUGAUUAUUUUCAUUUCAUUUGUAUAAUAUCGUUCUAUUAUUUAUGUAUAAUUGAGAAUGUUUAUUCAUUUUCCCCAACAUGUAUAUGUGAAUGAAAGUAGUGCAAUUAUCAUCGUUGUCCUUAAAUAAAAAUUUGCGCUUCAUUUUUUGAAAA